UGGAUGGUCUCUUCCUCAUACC
Molecule: non-coding RNA, 22 nt
Filed under: Arabidopsis thaliana (thale cress)
Lineage: Eukaryota; Viridiplantae; Streptophyta; Magnoliopsida; Brassicales; Brassicaceae
Source: RNAcentral